RNAcentral lists this ribosomal RNA (19 nucleotides) under uncultured Eurotium. RNAcentral's name for it is "partial 28S ribosomal RNA". The record is from RNAcentral. Lineage: Eukaryota; Fungi; Ascomycota; Eurotiomycetes; Eurotiales; Aspergillaceae.
AGGUUGACCUUCGGAUCAG